This 202-nucleotide unclassified non-coding RNA is filed under the name Melitaea cinxia (Glanville fritillary). RNAcentral describes it as "misc RNA ENSMCXG00005018237.1". Lineage: Eukaryota; Metazoa; Arthropoda; Insecta; Lepidoptera; Nymphalidae. The record is from RNAcentral.
UUAUGUCAGACUCCUACUGCCUAAAAAUAUUCUUCUUAAUUCAGGUCAUAUCCGUUAUCGAGUCUUCCCUUCGAUGAUUCUGCAACGCAUCCUGCCUGUUUUGACAUAAGGUGCCGUGACGUGGAAACUGACGAAGGGCCUAGUCCAUAAGUUCAAAGUCGCUCAACGUGCAAUGGAACGGGCGAUUUAUUACUAAAACUAC